RNAcentral lists this ribosomal RNA (491 nucleotides) under uncultured bacterium. Its description in RNAcentral is "partial 16S ribosomal RNA". It matches the Rfam family "Bacterial small subunit ribosomal RNA", at positions 29 to 507 of the family's 1533-position model. The record is from RNAcentral.
AGUGAACGCUGGCGGUAGGCCUAACACAUGCGAGUCGAACGGCAGCACAGUAAGAGCUUGCUCUUACGGGUGGCGAGUGGCGGACGGGUGAGGAAUACAUCGGAAUCUACUUUUUCGUGGGGGAUAACGUAGGGAAACUUACGCUAAUACCGCAUACGACCUACGGGUGAAAGCAGGGGAUCUUCGGACCUUGCGCGAUUGAAUGAGCCGAUGUCGGAUUAGCUAGUUGGCGGGGUAAAGGCCCACCAAGGCGACGAUCCGUAGCUGGUCUGAGAGGAUGAUCAGCCACACUGGAACUGAGACACGGUCCAGACGCCUACGGGAGGCAGCAGUGGGGAAUAUUGGACAAUGGGCGCAAGCCUGAUCCAGCAUACCGCGUGGGUGAAGAAGGCCUUCGGGUUGUAAAGCCCUUUUGUUGGGAAAGAAAAGCAGCAGGUUAAUACCCCGCUGUUCUGACGGUACCCAAAGAAUAAGCACCGGCUAACUUCGUG